This 302-nucleotide small nuclear RNA is filed under the name Octodon degus (degu). RNAcentral's name for it is "7SK RNA (ENSODEG00000023298.1)". It matches the Rfam family "7SK RNA". Rfam says of the family: 7SK was discovered as an abundant small nuclear RNA in the mid-70s but a possible function has only recently been suggested. Two independent studies have found that 7SK RNA binds the CDK9/cyclin T complex (known as elongation factor P-TEFb). Lineage: Eukaryota; Metazoa; Chordata; Mammalia; Rodentia; Octodontidae. The record is from RNAcentral.
GGCUAUGAGGCUGACCUGGCUGUGACAUCUGUGACCUCAUUAAUCUCCAGGUUUGAUUCUGCUGAUCUGGCUGCCUAGGCAGCUUGCCCCCUUCCUCCCUCAAACGCUCCAUGUGCAUCUCUCCUGAGGCUAUGCUAGGUUAAAGGGGACAACUACCCCCAAAAGAGGAUCAUUCCAUGGUUAGGGGUUUACAAGUAGUUGCGCUCCCCCUCUGUAACCUCUUAAACAAGCUCCCAUUUGAUUCUUUUAGUAGCCUAGUGAAGGAAAAUAAUUCUUGGUUUUUUAAUUCAUUGAAGUAGUUU